AUUACCUCAGUAACGGCGAGUGAAGCGGUAACAGCUCAAAUUUGAAAUCUGGCUCUUUCAGGGUCCGAGUUGUAAUUUGUAGAAGAUGCUUUGGGUGUGGCCCUGGUCUAAGUUCCUUGGAACAGGACGUCAUAGAGGGUGAGAAUCCCGUAUGUGACUAGGCGCUUUCGCCCGUGUAAAGCUCUUUCGACGAGUCGAGUUGUUUGGGAAUGCAGCUCAAAAUGGGUGGUAAAUUUCAUCUAAAGCUAAAUAUUGGCCAGAGACCGAUAGCGCACAAGUAGAGUGAUCGAAAGAUGAAAAGCACUUUGGAAAGAGAGUUAAACAGUACGUGAAAUUGUUGAAAGGGAAGCGCUUGCAACCAGACUUAGGCGCGGCCGAUCAUCUCGGGUUCUCCCGGGUGCACUCGGUCGUCUCUAGGCCAGCAUCGGUUUGGGUGGUGGGAUAAAGGCCUUGGGAAUGUAGCUUCUUUCGGGGAGUGUUAUAGCCCUCGGUGCAAUGCCGCCUACCUGGACCGAGGACCGCGCUUCGGCUAGGAUGC
Molecule: ribosomal RNA, 538 nt
Filed under: Lachnum sp. FC-2202
Lineage: Eukaryota; Fungi; Ascomycota; Leotiomycetes; Helotiales; Lachnaceae
Description: eukaryotic LSU rRNA
Rfam family: Eukaryotic large subunit ribosomal RNA
Source: RNAcentral